Molecule: long non-coding RNA, 223 nt
Filed under: Elaeis guineensis (African oil palm)
Lineage: Eukaryota; Viridiplantae; Streptophyta; Magnoliopsida; Arecales; Arecaceae
Description: long non-coding RNA (EGUI_LNC060187)
Source: RNAcentral
ACUUUUCUCAAAAUCAUUCAGCAUUAGUAUUCACUGAUGGUAGGUUUUAAAUAAAUUAAAUACCUGACCCGACCUGAGCCAGAUCCGAAUCAGAUCGCAUUUCAUGGAUUAGGACCGAGUUAUAUAUGGACCCGACCUGACCCGAUUUUUUAUCGAGAUGGGCAUGGGUCCAAUAUCAAGACCCGAUCAAGAAAUCGGAUCGGAUAGGGAUCACUCAGAACCC